UUUUUCAUUGGAGAGUUUGAUCCUGGCUCAGGACGAACGCUGGCGGCGUGCUUAACACAUGCAAGUCGAACGGAAAGGCCCCUUUGGGGGUACUCGAGUGGCGAACGGGUGAGUAACACGUGAGUAACCUGCCCUUGACUUCGGGAUAACUUCAGGAAACUGGGGCUAAUACCGGAUAGGAAUCCUUGCUGCAUGGUGGGGGUUGGAA
This 208-nucleotide ribosomal RNA is filed under the name Cutibacterium avidum. Its description in RNAcentral is "partial 16S ribosomal RNA". It matches the Rfam family "Bacterial small subunit ribosomal RNA", at positions 1 to 205 of the family's 1533-position model. Lineage: Bacteria; Bacillati; Actinomycetota; Actinomycetes; Propionibacteriales; Propionibacteriaceae. The record is from RNAcentral.